UGGACUCCAUCCUGGUGGGUGAGUCGUAGCAGGAGGAGGAGGAGGAAGAGGAGAAAGAGUCCUGUGGCGAGUAGCUGUUGUAAUCCAUGGGGUUGGAGAGCUUCAACGACUCUGGUGGGGAACAGGGAGCCUGAAAGAGCAAAAGGGUGAGGAUUAUUAUUCUGAGCAGGAUUUGGCAAAAGAGUCACGUGAUGGACAGCAACCUGACACAAGGCCAAAGGCUCAACAAGGAUGCCUACACUUCACAUGGAUGUUGCUGCUGAACUUACUUGGAAAAGUGGAUGCGCAAAGAUCCUGAAGAUCCGAGCAUGCCUGGGAUAUCAACUAUAGAAGAAGAAGAAAGGGAGAAACACAUGAUUAUUAGACGUUUUCCUCUUAAAAUAUUUGGAUAUGACUUUGACAGGAGAAAAUGCAACAAAAUGAUUUCCAGAUGAAAAUCCGACUUGAAACUCACCAGACAUGAUGGCAGAGAUGGAAGAGAGGCUCCCUGGAGAAGACCUGUGGGACUCCACAACGUCCUUUUCUGCCUCAGCAAAAUGGCCAAGAACGAAAUUUACGCAAAAGUCUCCAAAAAUCUCAACACAAAUGUCUUACAGCAGAGUCAGAGCAUACAACAAUAUUGUAAUAUAGCUGGGGACAUAUUAGUUUGAGAUUUUCUCCCUCCAUGCCUACUAUUUAAAACCCCUAGAACUCAAUGAUUUGACAAUGAUUUGAUUGCGCGUUACUUUCAAUUUGAAUAUUCAGAGGCAACCGAGUUUUAUCGAUUUUUUAAUAAAAAACACCACGCAUUGACAUUAAAGAAGCUCUACUUUAAUAUAAUAUAGUAAUAUUUUACAUUUUCACCAAAAAGAAAUCAUACUUUUAUUAAUUUUAUCCUCCUUUUGCAAUAUGACAGCAUCACACCCCCUUAUUAAGCACUGCAGCACUUGGUGCUCCUUGUGCCACUUUAUCACAGUGGUUGACUUUUUACCUGCGACCAUACAGUUAGUGCGGCCAGUCUGCACGCCGAAAAUAUAUUAAAUCAUAUCUUUAAGCUUUAUUUCGCACAAAAACACAUAAAAGUGGCAAAGAAGUGGGCGGGGCAAAGGGCAGUAGCCAUCUUUGGCAUCGCAGGCCUUGAGAUCCUGCAGCAAGUGCUGUAAGUGCACUCACCUGCUGCAGUCUGAGGGAGAACAAUCAGCAGCUUUUAGAUAUUUUAUUUUUCUUUCAUCUUUUAGACACUUUGAAUGAGGGAAAAAUAAAAUGUAUUUAAGAUGAAUGGAAGUUCCCAGUAAAGCUCCACAGAUUGUCAGGGUUUUAAAUAUACCUCCUUAAAUCAACUCCAGUUCUCUUUUGUUCCACAUUUAUCACAGCUGUACAACAUAAAAAACAAAAUACUUUUAUUUUCACAUUAUCUACACAAACUGGAAACCCCAAAAAGUUUUAGACAACGUCCCAACUUUUAUUUUGGAAUCGAGGCCGCGUUAAGUAGAAGCAACAAUAUAUUUAAAAUGAUAUUUACAUUUAUCAGCUUGUAGGAUAUGCUACAGUUUACUUCUGCUGGUUUUAGAAUGUGUUUAAUCACAUUAUAAGUUAAUAAAUUAUGACAUUUAACAUACAUAUUGCUCAUUUUAAACUAAAUGAUGUCAUAUAAAUACUUGGAGUCCGUAAGGUGGUCCAGCUAUUAUUAUUCUUAAUAUUAUUUUUACAAUUAUGAUUGUUAUUAUUCAUAUAAUAAUAAUGU
This is a long non-coding RNA of Centropristis striata (black sea bass), 1723 nucleotides long. RefSeq lists it as uncharacterized. The transcript is spliced from 3 exons. The record is from RefSeq and is a predicted model, not a curated record. NCBI's taxonomy places the organism in Eukaryota, Metazoa, Chordata, Actinopteri, Perciformes, Serranidae.